This is a small nuclear RNA of Choloepus hoffmanni (Hoffmann's two-fingered sloth), 104 nucleotides long. NCBI's taxonomy places the organism in Eukaryota, Metazoa, Chordata, Mammalia, Pilosa, Megalonychidae. The record is from Ensembl.
GUUUGCCUUGGCAGAAAUAUACUAAAAUUAGAACUAUACAGAGAAGAUUAACAUGGUCCCUGUGCAAGGAUGACAUGCAAAUUUGUGAAGCAUUCUAUACUUUU